Molecule: transfer RNA, 136 nt
Filed under: uncultured archaeon A07HB70
Lineage: Archaea
Description: tRNA-Met
Source: RNAcentral
GGCCGGGUGGCUUAGCUGGACAUAGCGCCGCACUCAUAGGGUCAGCGAGAUUCGGUGCGGUUCCGUCCCGAGAGGCCCGCCGAGCCUCGACGCCUGGGACAUGCGGAGAUCGCGGGUUCGGAGCCCGCCCCGGCCA